Molecule: ribosomal RNA, 478 nt
Filed under: uncultured bacterium
Lineage: Bacteria
Description: partial 16S ribosomal RNA
Rfam family: Bacterial small subunit ribosomal RNA
Source: RNAcentral
GACGAACGCUGGCGGCAUGCCUAACACAUGCAAGUCGAGCGAGCAGAUCCCUUCGGGGUGAAGCUAGCGGCGGACGGGUGAGUAACACGUGGGCAACCUGCCUCAUAGAGGGGAAUAGCCUUCCGAAAGGAAGAUUAAUACCGCAUAAGAUUGUAGCUUCGCAUGAAGCAGCAAUUAAAGGAGCAAUCCGCUAUGAGAUGGGCCCGCGGCGCAUUAGCUAGUUGGUGAGGUAACGGCUCACCAAGGCGACGAUGCGUAGCCGACCUGAGAGGGUGAGCGGCCACAUUGGGACUGGGACACGGCCCAGACUCCUACGGGAGGCAGCAGUGGGGAAUAUUGCACAAUGGGGGAAACCCUGAUGCAGCAAUGCCGCGUGAGUGAUGACGGCCUUCGGGUUGUAAAGCUCUGUCUUCGGGGACGAUAAUGACGGUACCCGAGGAGGAAGCCACGGCUAACUACGUGCCAGCCGCCGCAGUAA